Capsicum annuum is the source of this 644-nucleotide non-coding RNA. The record is from Rfam. Lineage: Eukaryota; Viridiplantae; Streptophyta; Magnoliopsida; Solanales; Solanaceae.
AACCAUUAAAGUGAGGCCUAAAGAUCCUUUAGACCUUCAAAAUUCAAAGCUAGAUAUGCCAGAAAAGUUACCAAGGGAAGAACAAGCUUGCGUUAGCUAAGAACUUAGAGCGACGUUGUUUUUUUAUUAUUCGAUGUCGGCUCUUCUUAUCACUGUAAAGAAGAAUUCACCAAAUGUUGGAUUGUUCACCCACCAAUAGGGAACGUGAGCUGGUUUUAGUCUGUCGUGAGACAAGUUAGUUUUACUCAACUAAUGAUAGUGUCACAAUUGUAAUUUAACCUAGUAAGAGAGGAACUAUUGAUUCACAUAAUUGUUCCUCGUUCUUGGUUGAAAACCAAGUGGUGCGAAGCUACCGUGUGCUGAAUUAUGAUUGAAUGCAUCUAAGUUAAAUCUGAUCUAGUAAAGAUGUAUGUGCAUGUCGUCCUCUUGUCUACCCAUUGUAGGGGCCUCAGCCCCAAGGACACGUGUCAUGGGCAAAGCCACCAUGGUGGAAGGGUCGUAGUGGCUGACUUAAAGCGUAAUUUCUAUUGAACGGUGGGUAGAAUCCUUUGUAGAUGACUAAAAUAUGCAACCGGGUAUUGUAAGUGGUAGAGUAGCCUUGCUUCCAUGAUCCACUGAGAUUCAGCCCUUUGUCGCUCUGACUU